AAAUAAGAAAUUAAGAGCGUAUGGUGAAUGCCUAGGCUCUCAGAGGCGAUGAAGGACGUGAUAAGCUGCGAUAAGUCUUGGGGAGGUGCAAAUAACCUUUAAUCCAAGAAUUUCCGAAUGGGGCAACCCACUUAGUUGAAGACUAAGUAUCCAGCAAUGGAGGCAAACGCAGGGAACUGAAACAUCUUAGUACCUGCAGGAGAAGAAAAUAAUAAUGAUUCCCUUAGUAGCGGCGAGCGAAAUGGGAAGAGCCCAAACCAUCUAUGUUUAGGCAUAGAUGGGGUUGUAGGACUCACAUAACGGUAUAUAAAUUGAAGUGGAAUCAAUUGGAAAGUUGAGCCAUAGAGGGUGACAGCCCCUUACACGUAAGCUUUAUAUAUUAGUGAGUAUCCUGAGUAGUGCGGGACACGAGAAAUCCUGUAUGAAUCUGCCGGGACCAUCCGGUAAGGCUAAAUACU
This 458-nucleotide ribosomal RNA is filed under the name uncultured Marinilabiliaceae bacterium. RNAcentral's name for it is "bacterial LSU rRNA". It matches the Rfam family "Bacterial large subunit ribosomal RNA", at positions 1 to 474 of the family's 2925-position model. Lineage: Bacteria; Pseudomonadati; Bacteroidota; Bacteroidia; Marinilabiliales; Marinilabiliaceae. The record is from RNAcentral.